CUACGUGCCAGCAGCCGCGGUAAUACGUAGGGUGCGAGCGUUAAUCGGAAUUACUGGGCGUAAAGCGAGCGCAGACGGUUACUUAAGCAGGAUGUGAAAUCCCCGGGCUUAACCUGGGAACUGCGUUCUGAACUGGGUGACUAGAGUGUGUCAGAGGGAGGUAGAAUUCCACGUGUAGCAGUGAAAUGCGUAGAGAUGUGGAGGAAUACCGAUGGCGAAGGCAGCCUCCUGGGAUAACACUGACGUUCAUGCUCGAAAGCGUGGGUAGCAAACAGGAUUAGAUACCCUGGUAGUCCACGCCCUAAACGAUGUCAAUUAGCUGUUGGGCAACUUGAUUGCUUAGUAGCGUAGCUAACGCGUGAAAUUGACCGCCUGGGGAGUACGGUCGCAAGAUUAAAACUCAAAGGAAUUGACGGGGACCCGCACAAGCGGUGGAUGAUGUGGAUUAAUUCGAUGCAACGCGAAGAACCUUACCAAGGCUUGACAU
This 487-nucleotide ribosomal RNA is filed under the name uncultured bacterium. Its description in RNAcentral is "bacterial SSU rRNA". It matches the Rfam family "Bacterial small subunit ribosomal RNA", at positions 501 to 987 of the family's 1533-position model. The record is from RNAcentral.